CUGAUUCAUGUCCUGUAAAGACACUUUCUCAAAAUUUGCAUUUCUCUCCUCCCUAAUCUGAGAGCCUGUGGUGCUUCAGAGCCUGUUAUCUACCAGUCUGCUUUCUUCUCCUUUCCCCUACUCCAGUCUGUCUCAGAAGUGCAGCGUCAGGGGCUUUUCUUUCUCUUCCCCACUUACUGUCUAAAGACUAAUUCCUGGUUGGUCUCUUUCUCCCGCAUCUCUCACUUUAUCCUUUUAUUUUAGCGGGAGGAGUAGGGUGUAAUGUGAGGCCAUAUGAGGUCAAGGAACAGGCCCCUGGGUACCUUGACAGU
This 311-nucleotide long non-coding RNA is filed under the name Bos taurus (domestic cattle). Its description in RNAcentral is "long non-coding RNA NONBTAT020635". Lineage: Eukaryota; Metazoa; Chordata; Mammalia; Artiodactyla; Bovidae. The record is from RNAcentral.